RNAcentral lists this long non-coding RNA (804 nucleotides) under Numida meleagris (helmeted guineafowl). RNAcentral describes it as "lncRNA (ENSNMEG00000013340.1)". The record is from RNAcentral. Lineage: Eukaryota; Metazoa; Chordata; Aves; Galliformes; Numididae.
GCCAGGAUAGCUUUUGUCUGCUUUCUCCUGGUGAAGAAGACAAACCAGGUAGUCCCUUGUUGUUCACCUUUGCUUUGGAUUCAGACAUUUACCACAAUUCAGGAUUUUCUGAACUGCAAACAGCAUUGCCUGUCAGGACAAAGAAAACUCCAGAAUGAAGGCACCUUAGCACGUUUCAUGUGGAGAGAGAAGUUACUACGGAAGGAGGCAUGGACCAGAUGGAAAACAGCUUUUCUGAGGCUACUGUAUCUUCCCGGAGAGUUAUUGGGGAGAUGAGCUGGAUGAUGAUAAUUUGCAAUUUGAUUCCUGAAAACUAGUUUGAUUCCAGGACAUCAGCCAUUCUGAGAGCGUGAGAACAGGAAUGGAUGCCCAAUGACAGCCAUCAUGUACAGUCAAGAAGGGGGCAAAAAUAUUUCUAUUAGUUGAGUGAAUCUGUCACUUAUCAUGAUAAAAUGUCUCUGGAAGAGGAGCAAUCAUCAUCUGACUAAACCUGCCAAUCUUCAGCUGUCUAGAGAGAGUAAACCUCUGACCCAGUUAGACAGCAGAAGAAAGAAUGGGUGUUCCCAAAGUGACUGAAGUCAAAAUGCUCAUAAUUACUUAAAUGAUAUCCAGGUCCUCCUAAUGAUCGCAAUUUGGACGUCUUGCAAUCAAGAAGUUCGUCUCCUCCUCAGGCAGUGCCAGUGCAUCAUCUUUGUGUUCGUAUGCACAGUUCCAGUCUUACUAUUUAUUUGUGUAUGUGUUUCAGCACAGUAGGUAAAUGUUGCCGAACUGUUUAGUGACAGCAUAAUAUAAAGAAGAGAGCAA